GGCAGUCUGAGUGCGUGGGUGUUUACAACUUGUUGAUCACAAUCAGUUACAGACUACUUUGUUCCUUCUCUAUUCCCACUGCUUUGUGAGGACUAGCCUUUA
RNAcentral lists this non-coding RNA (102 nucleotides) under Carlito syrichta (Philippine tarsier). The record is from RNAcentral. Lineage: Eukaryota; Metazoa; Chordata; Mammalia; Primates; Tarsiidae.